GCCCUUGGUGGCUCAGAUUGAUAGAGCGUCUGCUUUGUAAGCAGGAGAUCCAGGGUUCGAGUCCCUGUUGAGGCA
RNAcentral lists this transfer RNA (75 nucleotides) under Schistocerca americana (American grasshopper). RNAcentral describes it as "tRNA-Thr". It matches the Rfam family "tRNA". Rfam says of the family: Transfer RNA (tRNA) molecules are approximately 80 nucleotides in length. Their secondary structure includes four short double-helical elements and three loops (D, anti-codon, and T loops). Lineage: Eukaryota; Metazoa; Arthropoda; Insecta; Orthoptera; Acrididae. The record is from RNAcentral. RNAcentral also lists the same sequence under 2 other names.